Molecule: ribosomal RNA, 274 nt
Filed under: uncultured bacterium
Lineage: Bacteria
Description: partial small subunit ribosomal RNA
Rfam family: Bacterial small subunit ribosomal RNA
Source: RNAcentral
AGAAUCAACGCUGGCGGCGUGCCUCAGACAUGCAAGUCGUACGAUUAAAGCUCUCUUCGGAGAGUGCAUAAAGUGGCGUACGGGUGAGUAACACGUAAGUAAUCUACCUUUGAGUGGGGAAUAACAGUCGGAAACGACUGCUAAUACCGCAUAAUGCAGCGGCACCUAAUGGUGACAGUUGUUAAAGCGGGGGAUCGAAAGACCUCGCGUCUGAAGAGGAGCCUGCGGCGGAUUAGCUAGUUGGUAAGGUAAUGGCUUACCAAGGCUACGAUCC